CUCGGGGAGAAAAAUCUAGAGAAAAGUCAAGCCUACAGGAAUGAGAAAGAAAAAUGUGAAGUCUGUGCAGACUAUUAUUUGUGGCAGGAAUCCUUAUUUCUGAGAGAGGUGGUCAUGUAUGGAUGUGAGAGUUGGACUGUGAAGAGAG
Capra hircus (goat) is the source of this 148-nucleotide long non-coding RNA. RefSeq lists it as uncharacterized. The record is from RefSeq and is a predicted model, not a curated record. NCBI's taxonomy places the organism in Eukaryota, Metazoa, Chordata, Mammalia, Artiodactyla, Bovidae. The transcript has 3 exons.